CUCUGGGCUUUGUGGUUUUCAGAACCCUAACCCUAGGCAUAAACCUAACCCUAGGCAGAGCAGUAAAAGCAACAUUCAGGCCCCAGGUUUCUGAGAUGCUUCAGUGGCCUACUGAGAAAUCUCUUUAGGACAGAUUCCGGCUGAGCUGUCAGAUUGACUGCUAGAGGCACAGCCGAGUUUCAAAUGGACGAGUAGUGUGCAUGCAAGACACAUCCCAGAAAAAGAAGAUGUUUGACAAGUGAAGUGUUUUUAUUUUAUGAUGGAGAACGAGCAGGAACAUCAGACAGCUGGGAGGAAGAGCACAGGAAGAAGCAUGGGCUUGAAAAUGGACAUAGAAGUGGAGAAGGGGUCUGAGGGCGGAGCAAGGAAGAGGAACAGGGGAGAAGCUGCCACUGUCACCCCGUAUCA
Long non-coding RNA from Passer domesticus (house sparrow), 408 nucleotides. RefSeq lists it as uncharacterized. The record is from RefSeq and is a predicted model, not a curated record. NCBI's taxonomy places the organism in Eukaryota, Metazoa, Chordata, Aves, Passeriformes, Passeridae. The transcript is spliced from 3 exons.